UUUUUCCCAUUUUUAUUUUUGUCAAAAAUCAAAAUAUAAAGAUACCUCAAAAACAUUCUCUCUCUGCAGGACCUUCAACCUCUAUUGAUUUUUGUUGUCGCUCGCUCGAAGAGAGGGCUGUUUUGUAGUUGGAAUCUUCUGUUCGUUUCCCGAGAAAGCGGAAAGCUUAUAGGUAAGGGAAAACAAGAAAAGGCAAGAAAAUCUUGGAAUCUCACAACAUAUCAUCAUCACCUCCUUUUUAAUUCCAAUUUUUUCCUGUUUUUUCUUGGCAUCUGAACGGAUCGUUGCGCUUUCUUUUUUCUUUUUUAAAUUUUUUUAAUGUUCAUAAGGUUGAUUUUGUUGAUGUUGAUAGAUCUUUGAUACUGAUAUAUGUUGCCACGUUUAAGUUUAUUGAUAUAUGUAUAUGUUUAAUUUUGUUUAUGUGAUCUUGUAUCUAAUUUUGAUCUGAUUUUGGAAUUGUUUGGAUGGUUCUAUAAGUUUAUAGUUGUUGCUCUAUCUAUUGGGAUUUUGGAUUUGUUCAAUUGCUUUUGUAAAGUUUCGAGAUCAGACUGGCUGUUUUUAUAUAUGAAACUUAAUUUCAUCUUUCAACUGUAGACAUGAAUUUUUAGAUAGAUAAGAAUCGAUAUGUAGUCACGUGUAUUGGGAAGUUUAACGGUGGAAACUAACAUGUAGCCUAGCGUAGUCAAGGAACAUAUUGUGCACAAGCACUCUUUCACGUAGGGAGGAGGGUGUUCUGGGUGGGUAAGGAGAAUGAUUGUUGAAUUGCAGUAGUAGAGGGUGUUUGUGUACUCGAUGCUUGGCGUUAAGUCCUGAGCAUUGCUAGGGAGCAUUCUUUAUGUUUCAGAUGGAGGGUCAUACAACUUUGUAACAAGUUUGAUGCGAUAACAAGUGGGUUCAGCUUGGUGGUUAGAGUACUGCACCAUGAAUGCAGUUAUCUGCCAUCUGAUAUGACAUUCUGCCUUGACAACAGUAAAAGGAAAAGAUUGCAGAAGGUAGAAACCUUUGUUUUAAUGGGGCUGCGUCUCUUAAUUUUAUAAGAGUUGGGGUUCUGUAACAACGACACUUGCAUGUCCUGAAGUCUCAUCUGGGUUCUGCAAGGUGCCUUUUCAUAGCUCAUCCAUCAAAGUUAUAGGUCUUCAGUUAUACAAUUAGCCCAUCUUUUGCCUUGCACAUAAGGCAUUUUCAAUGGAUAGUUCUUGUUUAAACAUAAUUAUAUUUGGUUGAGAUUUUCUUUUUUAAUGUUUUUAUGCUUUCAACAUUUAUGUCUGGAGCUAGUUUUGUUUUCGCUUGAUGUGAUUCUUGGAACAUUUGAGUUAAACAUAUUGUAAAAUGUUUAAUUUGUCUUAUAAGGCAUGCUUUCCUUUGUCUUUGUCAAUAAAAGUCAGAUACAUGCUAUACAUUGAGUGUAGAUAUCUCUGCUGUGCUGCCUUGACAAUGUAUGACUUGACAAAUGUUCCAUUUUCCCCAGAGGAACACAAAAUAUUUGCCAUCUCUUAGAAUGUUGGUUGCAUUUCUUUCCUUUAAUGAUAAUCCCUUGAUAAAAAAAACUAAGGUCAUUCUACCUUUCCUGUUUUCAGCUUUUAAAUAUGCUUUUCAUGAUUAACCACAUCUUUAAGUUUCUUUAAUGACAAACUUGUUUUAAUUUUAUUUUUAAUAACAGAUAUACUAUUGAGUCCUCCAGUUUUUAAAAGUCUUGGAAUUUGUUCUUGGAGCAGAAGUGGGAAAUGGUUAACAGGUUCAUUCUAAUCAAUGCCUGCUCAUGGGCUCUAUCUUUACAUAUAAUGACCUGAAGAGCAUAUCUUAAGCUGCUAUUCUGUGUUGCACAGGUAUGGAGUGUUUUGAUUUGCAUAGAAUAUCAUGUUGCAGUGCAUAGAGGGAUUCAUUACUUCCCUACUGCGGUGUUGUGAUCUUGAUUUAUAUAAACAAUCAAGAGGCCUUGAAGACCCUGAACGUCUUGCCAGGGAGACUGUGUGUAUGCUACUGAUUAAGUGCUUAUGAUAAUAUUGUUAAUCCUUUAAUUUUAUUCAAUUAGUGGCAUCUUUUUAAUUUCUAGUUCUUUCUAUCUGUAAUGUUUAGAUUACAUGCCAUUGUGUUUUAAUCUGUGUUUUUCUACAGUUAUGUUUCUUGCCAACCCUACCCGUAUUGCAUGAUUAUAUAAGCAUUACAAGAAAAAACACUCAUUAGAAAUAUUAAUAUACGGAAUGUCUCAUCUGAUUCAGUUUAGUUAUACAAAUAUCUACUUAUUGUAAUAAUUCUAUUUUCAUCUCCCCAUAUAUAUAAGAGAUUUCGCUAUUUUAUUUUUGCUAGUAUAUUUAUAUUUCCAUUGAAAAUUGUUGGUUUUAUAAUUCUUGGUGCAGUCAGUGUGAGUGAAAUAGAGGCACUGUAUGAGCUCUUUAAGAAGAUCAGCAGCGCCGUGAUUGAUGACGGCCUGAUCAACAAGGAGGAGUUUCAAUUAGCAUUGUUCAAGACAAACAAGAAAGAGAGCUUAUUUGCUGAUCGGGUACUUUCCACUGGGUGUAUUUAUCACUCUUUACCUCCAAUUGUACCAGAACAAUUUUUUGUUCUAAUAAUGGACUACUGCUGCUGUCCCUGCUUUUGCUUAUUGAUUGUAGGUCUUUGAUUUGUUUGAUACAAAACAUAAUGGGAUCCUAGGAUUUGAAGAGUUUGCUCGUGCCCUCUCUGUUUUUCAUCCAAAUGCCCCCAUUGAUGAUAAGAUUGAAUGUAUGUUGUUUGAGAUUGACAAUUUUUCCAGAUCAUAAAUUCUUUUGUAUCGCUUGAGUUGAGUACAUCUGUUGUUGGUUUAUCCUCCUAGGAUGAUGAAAUGAAGCUUUACUUUCUUGGUGCUUUAUUCCUAUUUAUUUUGUGUUGUGGUGUUGCAGUUUCUUUUCAAUUGUAUGAUCUCAAACAGCAAGGUUUUAUUGAGAGACAGGAGGUCAGUAUUAUUGUUUCAAGAUUUUCUGACUUCAGUGAUUCUUGGACUCUUUUAGAUGUUCAUUAUUUAUUUGAUUUAUACAGUUAAGACUUUUAUCUACAUUUUAUUAAAUAGGUGAAACAAAUGGUAGUUGCUACUCUAGCUGAAUCUGGUAUGAACCUUUCAGAUGAUGUCAUCGAGAGUAUAAUUGACAAGGUGCCUACGCAUAUUAAUUCAAUGUUUCUUGACAAUGACUAUAAUCUUGGUUACAAGUUCGUAAGGAUUUCAACACUCCUUUCUGAAAGUAUUUGUUAGAAAGGGUUUUUUCCCCUGAAUUUUGGAGCUUUGUUUCAGACCUUUGAGGAAGCUGAUACAAAACAUGACGGCAAGAUUGACAAGGAAGAGUGGAGAAGCCUUGUUCUGCGCCAUCCAUCUCUUCUGAAGAAUAUGACUCUUCAGUAUCUAAAGGAUAUUACUACUACAUUCCCAAGUUUUGUGUUCCACUCACAAGUUGAUGACAUGUAAACUUGAGAUUUGCCAUCAAGUUCAAUAAAGUUUAUUAAUCAUGGCUUGUUUCUUCAUGGACAAAAAUGGCCCUAACAGAUGUAAAGGGCAAGAGAGAGAGAGUUUCUGCAUUGUAUUGGUUGUUCUUUCGACAGUUCUCAGUUGUGUAUAUUUCUAUUCAAUGACUGACCUUUUGCUUCCUUUUUGAGUACUUGUGGUUUCAUGGCCUUGCAGAAGGUCUGUUUUAUUUUUUCGUUCGUUAAAGGUGUUGAAAACAAUGGUGUGGUUUCCAUGUGUACAAGGAAGGAGUGAGGGUCAUGUUUUGUUGUGGAAGCAAAUAUUUACGCUGUGAAUUAGCCUUGGCCCCGUUGUAAGUGCUCCCUUCGAUAAAUAGAUUCCUGGCAAUUGGUGCCUCAGUCGC
RNAcentral lists this unclassified non-coding RNA (3836 nucleotides) under Hevea brasiliensis (rubber tree). The record is from RNAcentral. Lineage: Eukaryota; Viridiplantae; Streptophyta; Magnoliopsida; Malpighiales; Euphorbiaceae.